GACGAACGCUGGCGGCGUGCUUAACACAUGCAAGUCGAACGGAAAGGCCCUGCUUUUGUGGGGUGCUCGAGUGGCGAACGGGUGAGUAACACGUGAGUAACCUGCCCUUGACUUUGGGAUAACUUCAGGAAACUGGGGCUAAUACCGGAUAGGAGCUCCUGCUGCAUGGUGGGGGUUGGAAAGUCUCGGCGGUUGGGGAUGGACUCGCGGCUUAUCAGCUUGUUGGUGGGGUAGUGGCUUACCAAGGCUUUGACGGGUAGCGGCCUGAGAGGGUGACCGGCCACAUUGGGACUGAGAUACGGCCCAGACUCCUACGGGAGGCAGCAGUGGGGAAUAUUGCACAAUGGGCGGAAGCCUGAUGCAGCAACGCCGCGUGCGGGAUGACGGCCUUCGGGUUGUAAACCGCUUUCGCCUGUGACGAAGCGUGAGUGACGGUAAUGGGUAAAGAAGCACCGGCUAACUACGUG
Molecule: ribosomal RNA, 467 nt
Filed under: uncultured bacterium
Lineage: Bacteria
Description: partial 16S ribosomal RNA
Rfam family: Bacterial small subunit ribosomal RNA
Source: RNAcentral